AAGAAAGGGGCAGAGCGGUUAGGUGGUCGGGAUGAAACCGACGUUUGGGGGUUGGACUCCUCCCAUUCUGGU
RNAcentral lists this transfer RNA (72 nucleotides) under Sebastes vulpes. RNAcentral describes it as "tRNA-Ser". The record is from RNAcentral. Lineage: Eukaryota; Metazoa; Chordata; Actinopteri; Perciformes; Sebastidae.